Molecule: non-coding RNA, 5162 nt
Organism: Anas platyrhynchos (mallard)
Lineage: Eukaryota; Metazoa; Chordata; Aves; Anseriformes; Anatidae
Source: RefSeq, a predicted model, not a curated record
GACCACUGUAGUUGUGUUUCUGGAGCUCUAUACACUUACAGCACAUCUGUAUGCUUCAAGGGAAUCUAGUCUUAAAGGACAGAGAAGAUUUUCAUUUGAUUUUUAUUAUAAUUCUGCUUUCAUUUGACCAUAAAAAUCCAAGAGGUGUAAAUGGAAGUCUUACAGGUAUGAUCAUACACAGAAAACUGCAUGUUUGAAAGUAUGGGUGAGGUUUCUCGGGUCUAGAAUCAAAGGGUUAACCUUGCUUUUUCUUCUCUCCCUCCCCUCCUCAGAGAUAAAAGACACCAAACUUCCUACCUCUUGUUGCAAAACACCCUACAUGUCUGUUGGGUAACUCAGCUCUUACUGCUUGGAAGGGGGUAAUUUAAUAUCAGCUUUACCUCGUUAUUACUCUGAUUGCUUCAAGUCAGUGGUACUGCCUCAAACUGGUUCAAAAGGAAGAAAUGGGCUCAACAAUUCCUAAUCUGAUGAGAGCAAAACCAGCCUGACAAAAUGACAACCAAGGGCUAGGAGCUGGCCUCUUCCUGAGGUUCAUUUCAAAAGUGGAGUAGACCCAAAGUAACAUGUCCUUAACUUCAAAUUUCUCAGGCAGAGGGAAAAAAGAAGCUCAGCCUGCUUUUUCCACAGGUCCCAAGUUAGCCCAGGCCUGGAGAAUGGCAAAAUCAUCCCAAACUAUCCCUGAGCAUGUGGGGCACAUGGCACAUAUUAGGAGAGCUUCCAUCCGGGCUGGUGGUGCAGCCACCUCACCCUUGGGCACAGAGCAGGAUUUCAGCCCCCCAAGGGAGGUUGGCCCCACCUGCCCAGCACAGCCUGCCAGUAACACCAAAUCCACAGCAAACUACCCAACCCUGUGGCAAAUUUCGGAUUUCCCUGCACAUUUAAUGCAUGGGGUGGGUGAGCGUGCAGAUAACAGGCAUUAUUCUGAGCUUGGUAAUAAGGAGAAAGCAAGGAAAAGGGGAAAAAAAAAAGUGUUUGGAAACAGUCUAAAAUACUUGUAUGAACUUAGUUUUGUGUGCCCUACAUUUUGGCUGGAAUCUCUUCACCUUUCUGGAGGGCCUAUGUCAGUAAGAAAUUUUUUGAAAGGGCAGAGGGCUAUUUAAAAUCCUGUGUCCAAAUCUUGUGCUGUAAUCUCCUGAAAAGUCAUGUUUAUCCUUUCCUUCAGAGCAGAUGCCUAAUGACACAGAAUAACAUUUCACAGUCUGACAUAAGAAUAGAUUAGGCUGCCCUGUAAAGCACUGGAUUAAAAAAAAAAAGUACAAGCUGAUUGACUCAUUCAUGGCCUGUGGCCAUACAAAUGCUUGCCAAGUUGCUUCUAGACAAAGUUGUGGCACCUUCACCACAGAAACAAAGGGUGGUGUGGCAAGCAGAGCUUUCCUUCAGGACUCUUGUGAAACAAACACGUACCCGUGAAAAUGCAUAUGCAAAAGCAGUGUUUGUAAGGAGCUAUGUUAUUACACUUCCGUAAUCACAUAUUCCUCUCCAUAUGACCAAUUUCUAUGAAACUGUAGAGUAAUUCAGCACUAAAAUAAGUGCUUUUCCACAAAUUGCUAAAACUACACGUACUAUACCCAAACCAUCGUGGAGUCUGGGCUUGCUUUUGUGAAAAUAUCUUGAAUUUAUCUAAUUUUAAGGAGUUCCUUGCACUCCGUUGCUGUGACCAUGCCACGACUUCAUGCUGGUUAUGCUAUCCGUGCCAUAAAACAGCCACAGUAAUCCCUGAACCUGCAAAUACGUGUGCUGGAAAGGGAAUUACAGCUCUGCCCUCACAGGCUUACCCAGGCCAGCUUCGAGCUAGCUACCUGAGGUACCGACAGCAGGGAAACCAGCCUCCGGGAAACAUCUCAUUGCCUGUUCUGGCCCCAAAGCCCGUCUUGCUGCAGCUUCGUGCAGCUGUGCUUCAGCCGCUGGACUGCACAACCACAUCUGCCAGCCGUGUAGGGCACAGAUAGGGUAAUGCCACUACCCUCACAGGAGGGUAAAACGAUGAGCCAGGACUUAAACCCAAGGCUUUUUCAUUAAACCAACCCCUGGCUUCGCAACAGUCUGGUUCCUUGUCCUUUCAGUAGUUUGAAUGUAGUGACUGGAAAUGUAAAUCCAACCAAUUCUGAAAAUUCGUGCAGUUGUAGCAGUCAGUGGUCACUGAUGUUAUCUGCACUGUGGGGAAAUACGCCGAGAAUGUCUUGUGGCCAAUAUUUUUCCUAUUUGAUGACCACAUGAUUAUUUUUGGUUAGCUGCUACUAUUUCCUUCUUGAGUCAUUCCUGCAAGGCACUGAAACACUGCAGCCAGCAGUGACUGUGAAGAUCUCUAAAUUAGAUUUGCAAACCCUCAUCGAGAGCAUCCUCUGCUGAAAGCGCCUGCAUCCUGCGUUUUGGCACUGCGAAUGCUCCCCGUGUUUGGCAUCUCGUUCAGCAUCGCUGAGGCUGGAAGAGCAGUGGGAGAAAGCUGUCAGGAAGGAAAGGGAAAGGAGGGAAGAAACGCCAGCCUUGUGCACAGGGGGGAGAUGAUCUGCUCCUGGCCGGGUGGAGCUUGGCGCUCCCACCCAUCCCCAGCAGCUGUCAGAUCGUUUUAUGGGGCCAUCUUUGUAGCAUCCGCGUGAGUACGGUGGGGUUGCCUGGCUCUUCUGAGCACACUCUCUGCUUCUGACUUGGUCAUGUCCUGAGCAGGCUGUUGCAAAACCCCGCAGACUCCCCAAAAUGACUCAUGUCUGCAGGCAUGGAUGUCUGCACAGCGGCGUGGAGCUGCGCAGGAAGCCUGGGGGCCUGCCGCCUGGCACCACGCAGCAGCUUGCUCGCUAAAAGGAGCAUCUCAGUGGAGCAGCCAGGGGCUAGGGGCUCUGCUGGCCAGCUUCCACGUGACGUUUAAUGGUUUCACCAUGAUCCCACAGCACCGCAGGGGCUGCCCCUGUGAAAUAAGUCCCCACUCGCACCUGCAAGUAAUUCCCCCCAGGGAUGUGUGGUGCUGGAGCGUGGUCUGCCCUGUACCCCCAGCUCCCCGGACUUUGUGGCAUAUUCUGAGCUGGCUGGUUUGAGACCCACGGUGUGCAAGACUUGUCCCGCACACAACAUCCUACCCCGGGAGAAGUAGCUCAUACAUUACUCAUACAUAAUUUCAAAACUGUGGGUAAACUGGAUGGUUUCUUGCUCCCGUAGACAUAUGACUUCAUCCUGUCUGUCUUGCCGACUUGCUACACGAGCGCUGCCAGAUCUGCAUGACGCUUCUGUGUGCUCCAGCGGCAGCUACGCGCUGCCUUAUCGCCAGCUGAGCACGAAUUCCUGCCUUAUCACCUGCUAAGCUGAAGGAUCAGUGCAUGCUGAAGUGGAGGAGCUGUGUGGGAUCUCAUGUUUGGUAUCUGCCGGUACAGCUCUAAUGCCUCCUUUUGAUAAGAUCACCCCGGCCUGCACAACUCUGAAGUGCUCUGUGACUUGGGACAGAGGCAAACCCAUCGGUGGGCUAUCCUGCCACUCGACACUGCACAUACAGUUCAGGUUGCAUUAUGGAGACAGCCCUACACAGCACAAUGAAGCUGAUCUUGUGUAGAACAACACAUCUGGACGCAGAGCUGUAUUUCCCCAUCACUGCAUAUAAACUGCCAGUUUUGCAAGACGCCAUUCAUGACCACUAAUCUCAAGACAUAAGAACCAACUUCUUUUACUGUUUUCUGAAGCAAAGACAUCCAUCGACAGUUCACUAAAUAUACUUCUGCUAAAUGGCUGGGAGCCAUAGCCUGUAAAGCUCGAAGGUGUACAACCAGCUCCUGAACUUUCCUUACCGUUCUCCCUACCACCGCCAUCUUCGCUAUCCAUUAACCCGGCUCAUUACUGAAAGCUGAAAACACAAAAGAAGUAAACAUCAGUUAACGAGGUUUGCACCUGGGGGUGGUAAACAAAACUGCUCUGCUCUUGAAGGGAAACUGGCUGCUGGGUGAGAGCAAAUCUCAGCCCAGAGAGGACAGGUCUGCCCAGGGUAGGGAGUGUGAGCAGGGAAUAGGAAGAAUAUUUUCAGCUUCAGGAUUUGAGGCUUAGCUAGGGAAUGCUGAGGGGAAACAUCUUUUCCCAAAUUUGUUCUUCCAAUUAGAAAUUGCACGUUUGUCUACUCCUUGUUUUCAUCAUAGUGAAGUAGAAUUUGAUACUAAUCUGAUUCCUUACUCCUGCAGUUUGGGACAUUUCAGAUCCAAGCUUUUGUUAAACGUUCAUCCCGGGUUUUUGCCUCAAGCUGAAAGAAUCGAGACUUUGUCUUCAACUGAGUGAAUUGAGACUUUGUCUGAAGUGCAGCAACAUGGCGCACGCUAAACAAAACAAGCCUUUGUGUACCAUUGUUAUCAAAACAUUAUAACACCAGGAAACAGCUACACAUGGACUUUCCUUUGCUACUUAACUGCUCCUAUAGAUCUGCUGAGGCUCAACUCAUUUUACUUUUCAAGCCUCCCGCAGUAGCCAAAUGCUUUGGAAAGGAAAGAAACCGCCCAUAAAACCUUUUUUUUUUCUUUACAAACUAGCAGUGCACGUAUUAAAGGAGCGUGUUUCGCCUUACCGUUUCCUUCAGUUUCAUCCACGGGGCUGUGGAUUUGCCUUGCCCUGGGGAGCAUCGUGGGCAGGAGCCCCCCGGUGAAGCGGCCCCUCUGCGGUGCCAGCCUGAGGAGCUGCUCGGUGGAAGAAGCGUGCUGCAAGGUUUGGUUUCUGCCGUGGAGCCUGCUCUCUCUCUCGGUGCUUUCCCCGGUGGUCUGAAAGAAAAGCGAGCUCUCUAGGAGCAGACCUCCCCGGGCACGCACCGAGCACUGGGUUUCCUUCUUCUGCUCUUCUGGCGCUCGGGUGGUGUGAAGAUGGAUGCCACUGAAGCCAGUGGAGCUAAACCAACCCCACUCAAAGGAGAAUCGGCCCGUAGGUCUACAAAACAUCUAUCCCCAUGACUUCACAGGCUUUUUAUUGCUGCAAAUACAUAAAUCUUUGUAUCAACCGACUUCAAAGAUCAUAAAGCCCUAAUUGUGUGUGCAGCCUACCAGGAAUGGAGUGCUCUGCUGAUGCAUAAAACACGCAUAGAUAGUACACAAAUACACGCAGCCCAGGCUUAAAUUUAGCCUCAACCACACAAAAGAUAUCUUUAUAACUAAGAAUGAUGGGAAGAAAGAUCCCAUUCCAGAACAGACGAACAACUCAUUUUUUCA